AACAAAGCAUUGACAGGGAAGAGUACGAUGUGAACUGACUUUAAGAGAGGGAAAUCACAAGCUGGGAGAUUUCCUAAGCAGAACGUCGGAAGGUCGCCCAUGAGCUUCUUCAGCGAAAGGAUUGUUACAUCCAAUUAGUUGAAGACGGAUGAAAUCCGUUAUCCAAUUAAGCGCCAAUCAUGUUUUUUGAUUGGAAAAAAGGUGGUACCGCGAAGCAAACUCCAUUCGUCCUUUUA
This 236-nucleotide non-coding RNA is filed under the name Bacillus sp. (in: firmicutes). RNAcentral's name for it is "Bacillus sp. T-box sequence". It matches the Rfam family "T-box leader". From Rfam's summary of the family: Uncharged tRNA acts as the effector for transcription antitermination of genes in the T-box leader family. T-boxes are found upstream of many aminoacyl-tRNA synthetase genes and some amino acid biosynthetic genes usually in Gram-positive bacteria. The anticodon of a specific tRNA base pairs to a specifier sequence within the T-box motif, and the NCCA acceptor tail of the tRNA base pairs to a conserved bulge in the T-box antiterminator hairpin. RNAcentral also lists the same sequence under 1 other name. The record is from RNAcentral. Lineage: Bacteria; Bacillati; Bacillota; Bacilli; Caryophanales; Bacillaceae.